Molecule: long non-coding RNA, 3696 nt
Filed under: Oncorhynchus mykiss (rainbow trout)
Lineage: Eukaryota; Metazoa; Chordata; Actinopteri; Salmoniformes; Salmonidae
Description: lncRNA (ENSOMYG00000062120.1)
Source: RNAcentral
GGGAUAGAUUGGUGUAGGUCUGGCCCACGCAUCAGUGGGAGACUGAGCCUUUCUAUCCACACACACACAGUCAGUGUGUCAUGCUUGCACUGUGUGGGCUGAACUGAGCAUUCUUGCCAUACAGUAACGGUACAUAGACUGCCUCCUCUUUCCUCUCUCUCUCUCUCCUCUCUUUCCCCUCUCUCUCUCAUCCAUUUCUCGUUCCCCUCGCUUUCCUCGUUUCCUCUUCUUCUCUCUUUCCUCUCUUUCCUCUCUCUCCAUCUCUUUCUUUCUCCCCAUCUCUCUGGCUUUCUCACACUCUACAUCUCUCUCUUUCUCUCUCACACUCCAUCUCUCUCUCCACCUCUCUCUCAGUGUGCAGGCAGAGAAGCCUGGUGAUGGAGGAUCUGUGUCUCUGAUGCUGUGGGGCUGUGACUGGACAGUGAGUGACCCCAUGCCUCUGAGUCCGACUGCCAACGCUAAGCAUGACCCCCCUGAUCAUCCCCGGCAACCAGCUGCUACCAAUGGCAACCAGCCAGGUUCAGCCCUUGCCAGGGACGACGGGAGGACUUCCUCCCCAGAUCCUCCUGACGACGGCUCUGGAAACAGCAUCGUCAUCCGUAUUGGCAUCCCUGACCUGCAGCAGACGGUACACGCAAACACACAAACACACACAUAUGAAAACUCUUACCUAAGAAAUUGAUUCAUAAAUUCACAGGUGUGUGAAGAAUGUCGCCGGAGGAGAUGACUGCCGUUUUACGGGCUCUUAACCAAUCGUGCUGUUGUGUGUGUUUUUUCGCGUUAUUUGUAGCCAACUUUGUUUCUGCCACCGUCUCUUAUGACGAAAAGAGCUUCUGGAUAUCAGGACAGCGAUUACUCACCUCGUACUGGACAACGAUUUUUUUUUAAUGAGUUGGACUUGAAGGAUUUAUUUCAGACACCCGACAAGGCCUCAUCCUCGUCAUUCGCAGGAGAAAGAGACAGAGAUAUCAGGGACGUAGGUCGGGGUGCCUUGUAAGGAUUUGAUGGCGAGUGGGUAAUCUGCCUCUACGUAUUAGCCUGUAAGGACAGACGCUAGGAGACGAGAAGCAAGUACAGUACAUUUAAUAAAUAACGGACAUGAAACAAAACACGGACAGCGUCUGGACGGGAAACAAAACGACAUUGAUGCUGACUCGGGAAAGAAACUAAGAGAUACAGGGGAGGUAAUUAAUAACAUGAUGGAGUCCAGGUGAGUCUGAUGACGCGCUGAUGCGUGUAACGAUGGUGACAGAUAUGUGUAAUGAUAAGCAACCUGGUGACCUUGAGCUCCAGAGAGGGGGAACAGGAGCAGAUGUGACAGUACCUCCCCUCUAAGGGCGCCACUCGGCGUCCCACCUGGGCGAGCCCGACGAGCCAGCUGAGGCAUGGAAGCCCGACGAGCCAGCUGAGGCAUGGAAGCCCGACGAGCCAGCUGAGGCAUGGAAGCCCGACGAGCCAGCUGAGGCAUGGAAGCCCGACGAGCCAGCUGAGGCAUCCAUUGUUUCUUCGGCAGCCGUACCCGGACCCAACGUCACCCACUUAAACAAAAACACUUCCUGAUGCUUCCAACAUUGGUGUCAAAACAACAUUAAUGCUCUACAUACUACCUACCCCUACCUAACCCUGGUCCACAUACUACCUACCCCUACCUAACCCGGGUCCACAUACUACCUACCCCUACCUAACCCUGGUCCACAUACUACCUACCCCUACCUAACCCUGGUCCACAUACUACCUACCCCUACCUAACCCGGGUCCACAUACUACCUACCCCUACCUAACCCUGGUCCACAUACUACCUACCCCUACCUAACACUGGUCCACAUACUACCUACCCCUACCUAACCCUGGUCCACAUACUACCUACCCCUACCUAACCCUGGUCCACAUACUACCUACCCCUACCUAACCCGGGUCCACAUACUACCUACCCCUACCUAACCCUGGUCCACAUACUACCUACCCCUACCCCUACCUAACCCUGGUCCACAUACUACCUACCCCUACCUAACCCUGGUCCACAUACUACCUACCCCUACCUAACCCUGGUCCACAUACUACCUACCCCUACCUAACCCUGGUCCACAUACUACCUACCCCUACACAUACCUAACCCUGGUCCACAUACUACCUACCCCUACCCCUACCUAACCCUGGUCCACAUACUACCUACCCCUACCUAACCCUGGUCCACAUACUACCUACCCCUACCUAACCCUGGUCCACAUACUACCUACCCCUACCUAACCCUGGUCCACAUACUACCUACCCCUACCUAACUCUGGUCCACAUACUACCUACCCCUACCCCUACCUAACUCUGGUCCACAUACUAUCUACCCCUACCUAACCCUGGUCCACAUACUACCUACCCCUACCUAACCCUGGUCCACAUACUACCUACCCCUACCUAACCCUGGUCCACAUACUACCUACCCCUACCUAACCCUGGUCCACAUACUACCUACCCCUACCUAACUCUGGUCCACAUACUAUCUACCCCUACCUAACCCUGGUCCACAUACUACCUACCCCUACCUAAUCCUGGUCCACAUACUACCUACCUACCCCACCUAACCCUGGUCCACAUACUACCUACCCCUACCUAACCCUGGUCCACAUACUACCUACCCCUACCUAACCCUGGUCCACAUACUACCUACCCCUACCUAACCCUGGUCCACAUACUACCUACCCCUACCUAACCCUGGUCCACAUACUACCUACCCCUACCUAACCCUGGUCCACAUACUACCUACCCCUACACCUACCUAACCCUGGUCCACAUACUACCUACCCCUACCUAAUCCUGGUCCACAUACUACCUACCCCUACCUAACCCUGGUCCACAUACUAUCUACCCCUACCUAACCCUGGUCCACAUACUACCUACCCCUACCUAAUCCUGGUCCACAUUCUACCUACCCCUACCUAACCCUGGUCCACAUACUACCUACCCCUACCUAACCCUGGUCCACAUACUACCUACCCCUACACCUACCUAACCCUGGUCCACAUACUACCUACCCCUACACCUACCUAACCCUGGUCCACAUACUACCUACCCCUACCUAACCCUGGUCCACAUACUACCUACCCCUACCUAACCCUGGUCCACAUACUACCUACCCCUACAUAACCCUGGUCCACAUACUACCUACCCCUACACCUACCUAACCCUGGUCCACAUACUACCUACCCCUACCUAACCCUAACUCGGGAAAGAAACUGAGGAAGUGACAGUCAGCCACCAAUUGUGCAAGUUCUCCCACUUAAAAAGAUGAGAGAGGCCUGUUUCAUCAUAGGUACACUUCAACUAUGAUAGACAAAAUGAGAAGAAAAAAAUCCAGAAAAUCACAUUAUACAAUUUGUUAUGAAUUUAUUUGCAAAUUAUGGUGAAAAAUAAGUAUUUGGUCAAUAACAACAGUUUUUCUCAAUACUUUGUUAUAUACCCUUUGUUGGCAAUGACAGAGGUCACUCAAAAUAGGUAGGUUUUCACUCAAAAUCUCACGAUACAUGGCCCCAUUCAUUCUUUCCUUUACACGGAUCAGUCUUCCUGGUCCCUUUGCAGAAAAACAGCCCCAAAGCAUGAUGUUUCCACCCCCAUGCUUCACAGAAGGUAUGGUGUUCUUUGGAUAUAACUCAGCAUUAUUUGUCCUCCAAACACGACGAGUUUAGUUUUUACCAAAAAGUUAUA